Molecule: ribosomal RNA, 675 nt
Filed under: Bacillus subtilis
Lineage: Bacteria; Bacillati; Bacillota; Bacilli; Caryophanales; Bacillaceae
Description: bacterial SSU rRNA
Rfam family: Bacterial small subunit ribosomal RNA
Source: RNAcentral
GGGCGUAGAGGGCUCGCAGGCGGUUUCUUAAGUCUGAUGUGAAAGCCCCCGGCUCAACCGGGGAGGGUCAUUGGAAACUGGGGAACUUGAGUGCAGAAGAGGAGAGUGGAAUUCCACGUGUAGCGGUGAAAUGCGUAGAGAUGUGGAGGAACACCAGUGGCGAAGGCGACUCUCUGGUCUGUAACUGACGCUGAGGAGCGAAAGCGUGGGGAGCGAACAGGAUUAGAUACCCUGGUAGUCCACGCCGUAAACGAUGAGUGCUAAGUGUUAGGGGGUUUCCGCCCCUUAGUGCUGCAGCUAACGCAUUAAGCACUCCGCCUGGGGAGUACGGUCGCAAGACUGAAACUCAAAGGAAUUGACGGGGGCCCGCACAAGCGGUGGAGCAUGUGGUUUAAUUCGAAGCAACGCGAAGAACCUUACCAGGUCUUGACAUCCUCUGACAAUCCUAGAGAUAGGACGUCCCCUUCGGGGGCAGAGUGACAGGUGGUGCAUGGUUGUCGUCAGCUCGUGUCGUGAGAUGUUGGGUUAAGUCCCGCAACGAGCGCAACCCUUGAUCUUAGUUGCCAGCAUUCAGUUGGGCACUCUAAGGUGACUGCCGGUGACAAACCGGAGGAAGGUGGGGAUGACGUCAAAUCAUCAUGCCUCUUAUGACCUGGGCUACACACGUGCUACAAU